AUAGGUUCCUAUUGUAGGAAGUGUUCACACAACACUGUUUCAACUAAAAAUUAUUUUUUUAAAAGCUGUUGGUCAUUCAUUUACAUCCCAGCUAACAAUUUUUGGUUCAACGUUAACGGAACGUUAGUUUUUGGGUCCCAGAACUUUUUUUUUUUUAUGGUUUGUUUUUGGUUAGCCAAGAAAAUUUUCUUAGCGUUCCCAGAACGUUAGUUUUUGGUGCCCAGAACGUUAUGCUAAUGUUCCUAUAAUGUUAUUCUAAUGUUAAUCUAACGUUCCCCUGACGUUAGUUUUUUUUUAACGUUAUUAUAGCAUUCCCCUAACAUUUUUACUCCGAUAUGAUCACCCCGCUGUACGUCAGUAAUCAUCCAGCACACUCGUGAUAUAUAAGCGGCAUGGAAAUUAUAUGUAUGGACGCUUAAUCAGUAUUAUAAAAAACACAUUUUGUUUUUAUCUAUUGUUUAAGUAUUGUUUAUAAUCGGAGCACAUCAACCUGCAUAUUAAAUAAGAUUAAAUCUGUCCAUUAAUAUGUAAUAUUAUGGAGUACCCAUAUUUUACAUUUCUUCAGCACCAAAUAAAAAUGACUUCAACACAAUAUAUAUAGUUAGGCUUUUAAAUCCCUCCACAGCAAAUUCGGUGGUGUUACAGUGUUCAAAUAAAAGUGUGCAUUUACUGUAAUAAACACCAGCUUGUGUGACAUGGUGCCCCCAAGUGGUGCAAUAUUUUGAUGCUGCGCUUCCGAACCAUAGACAGUAAAAAAAACACCUGUCCAGUGUUAAUUGUACAUACGGGAACUUGAAGUAAUUGAGACAAUGCAGUCCGCAUUUGACAAUCUUCCCUGGUGGGAAAAAUGGCGGCUCUUUCGGUGGAAUCGUGCGAUUGAAAGCAAAACAAAAAAGUCAAGCAGAAGUUUGACAUCUGACUAGCUGACGAGACUGGAACAGAAGUAGAUGAUGUUUUUGCUGACAUUAUUGACCAAAAGCCUGACUUUCUUUGGAUGAUAGUUGAUGCUGUGGCUGUAGCACGUAUGAAAAGAUGUAAUUAUAUCUAUAUGUGUAUAUAUGCUAUUGUACUAAUUUUCUAUUUGACUUUAAGACUCUCCUCCACACGCAAGCUGUCAUCUUCAAAUGAGACAGAUACACCAUCACUUCAUUCAGUUGCAUCAUCGUCGGACACACAGCCAUCAGACAGCGAUGGUCCUUUCUUCCCACCUAAAAGAGCUCGUUCUAAUGACCAUUUGCAAGAAGCUAAGGAGCUUGUGAAAAGUGUUUUAGAAAAGCCUGCUGGGGAGAAGAUAUUUCAGAACACUGCCACACCAGUCAAGGAGGUACAGGCAGUUCAUUAUGUAUGCUAAUCAAGAGCAAGGAUAAUCACUUUGUGUAGAUAAAAUAGCUUAUGUAUAUUGGUAUAUGAUUAUAUAGAUUUGUUAUGGUUUGCGUUUUCUUUUUUUGAAUUUAGACUGGGACAGUGUUAUGUAUUCCCAGUUAUUGCUGGUCUAUCUCCUGCCACCACCUUCUAGCGGAAAUAAGUUUGUCAAGAUCAGUGUGCGUGAAGCUUUGGAUCGCGUAGUAAGAUUUCACAAGGUAUGGUUACUCUUAAUGUUAUGUAGAACUGCAUGUCAUGCCUAGAAUGCUUAUUAAUGUGUAGGUGUACAUUAUUUUUCGAGAAUGUUUUUUUUCUGUUUUCAGUCCUCUUGCAGUUUUGAAGAAGUCCUUGGAUCAACACAGACAACACAGCCCUACAUCUUGACAGUUGGCACUUUGAAGAGUAGCAUCCAUUACUACUACAUUGCUGUGGAUGAGCGGCUCACCCCCUGCAUGACUAAAGGCCAAUUUAUACUUCUGCGUCGAGUGUACGCCGUAGUGUACGUCGUAGGCUACGCACGUAGGCGACGCCGUCGUGAGCAUUUAUACUUCUGCGUAUGUCUGUUUUGCUCUGCAGUUACACCGCCGAAACGCUAGUUGACGUGAGCGGGUUCCACUGUGUUUAUAUGCACUCCGCUACAUCUAAACCGACGUUGGAGGAAAUCUCCCACCACGAAUUCGCUGCCAUCUGGCAGUCUUUGUAAUCUCCCGAAGAGGAGUCAUACAGAUGGCUGUAUUUCCUCACUUCUUCAAUUAAUCGCUCGGUCACUUGGUCCAUUUCCAUGUUGGCUCUUCACUGAAUUUCGGAAUUUAAAAAUGGCGGGCGGUCCAGAGUGCAGAAGAUCAUUCCGGAAAUGCGUAGGAGGAAACGUGAUACCACCAAGCCGACCAAUCACAGAUCUUGCAGUCCGCGUCGUCGCGACGCGUAGUUAAAUUUUUGAGGAGGUGCGCGUCAGGGUACAGCGAAGGGUACGACGUAUGGUACAUGUCAAUGCGUAUGCUACGCCGUACCUACUACGCGCACCCGACACAGAAGUAUAAAUUGGCCUUUAGUCCUCUCUCUCAGCCUUUGAAGUUCUCAAUGUAUUGAUAUUUUAAUAUUUCUGAAAACUAUGCAGUGAAUAUCAUGCAUGACAUGCUAGAGGGAGUAGCACAGUUAGAGAUGAAGUUGCUUUUUGAUUAUCAAAGUUGUGUCCUUACAGUCUGCGAGCAACAGAAUUUACUCAUUUAACUAUGGUUAUUUUGAACGUAAAAACUGACCUACCGUGGUUAAGUUUGAAGAAGCUGGGAAUGGGAUGGGUCUCAAUGCCAUCCAGACAUUUGCCUCAUUAGAAAUCUGCUUCUACUGCAGAUAAUAAAUAGUGUUUUCUCCAGUCA
Cyprinus carpio (common carp) is the source of this 2738-nucleotide long non-coding RNA. NCBI's taxonomy places the organism in Eukaryota, Metazoa, Chordata, Actinopteri, Cypriniformes, Cyprinidae. The record is from Ensembl.